GACGAACGCUGGCGGCGUGCUUAACACAUGCCAGUCGAACGGAAAGGCCUCUUUCGGGGGGUACUCGAGUGGCGAACGGGUGAGUAACACGUGAGUAACCUGCCCUUGACUUUGGGAUAACUUCAGGAAACUGGGGCUAAUACCGGAUAGGAGCUCCUGCUGCAUGGUGGGGGUUGGAAAGUUUCGGCGGUUGGGGAUGGACUCGCGGCUUAUCAGCUUGUUGGUGGGGUAGUGGCUUACCAAGGCUUUGACGGGUAGCCGGCCUGAGAGGGUGACCGGCCACAUUGGGACUGAGAUACGGCCCAGACUCCUACGGGAGGCAGCAGUGGGGAAUAUUGCACAAUGGGUGGAAGCCUGAUGCAGCAACGCCGUGUGCGGGAUGACGGCCUUCGGGUUGGAAACCGCUUUCGCUCAUGACGAAGCUUUGUGUGACGGUAGUGGGUAAAGAAGCACCGGCUAACUACGUG
RNAcentral lists this ribosomal RNA (467 nucleotides) under uncultured bacterium. RNAcentral describes it as "partial 16S ribosomal RNA". It matches the Rfam family "Bacterial small subunit ribosomal RNA", at positions 28 to 507 of the family's 1533-position model. The record is from RNAcentral.